AUAUAUCUUCUGAUUCAACCAAGUGAAAAUGUGGCUUCAGAGGAGGUGACAAAGUGUGACCAUACCCAAAGCCAAGUUCUGCAACUUGACUCUGAGAGCCUGCUGUCUCCACUGAAUUUGAUUAUGUGCUAUCAGGAGAAUCCAUCUACUGCCUGCAGCUGUCGAGCUCCUCUCCUGGGUUGUUCACGACUCCCCAGAAGACCCCAGAAAGAAAAUGGCACAACACUCGAUCCUGCCAGACACCCAGGAAGAUUUCAGGUCCUGU
Molecule: long non-coding RNA, 265 nt
Organism: Homo sapiens (human)
Lineage: Eukaryota; Metazoa; Chordata; Mammalia; Primates; Hominidae
Exons: 3
Source: RefSeq, a predicted model, not a curated record